UCAUAUAUUGAUUCAACGAAACAAUCUGUUAUUACAAUGCAAGUAUCAUCAACUAUGAGUACAUCACUUUCUUAGAAAAAAAAUGAAAUUUCUAAACAUUCAUAGAACUGUCUUGUUUCUCCUCCAAGUACCAAGAAUCAUCAUACGUUCUCCAAGGAUCCAAUUAAUCAUCUAGUAUUGAAAUUCUCAACCUACAAAGAAAAAUCAUAAUACUAUUUAGGCAUAAAUUCCAAGUGAAGUUCAAAAACAUACAUACUGUACAUUGUACUAAGGAACCACAUAAACGUCUCAGCCUUAGUUAGUUUUGUGUCACCAUUACUUACGUACAACUCAUGCUUGGUAUGAUGUAUUAGGAAAAAAAACUGAAUGCCAAUAACCCAAAAAUCAUUAACUAAUCUACAUCACAGAAAACUUUGUAGAUACCUGAGAACUACAUUGUCACAUUGGAAUUUCUCAAUUCAAAAAUAGAAUUCUCAGAACCAGUAGAAGAAACAACAUGAAAAGAAACAAAUCGUUAGAUUUGGGCUCCUGAGAAUUUAUAUCUAGAGAAGGUAGGAUCCAGGGAGUUUACACAAAAUUAAAAAUAAUUUAAUGUGGCACUAUUUAAUUCUUGAGGACCAGACCAAGCACUAGAGCUAAAUACAUAUUUAUGAAAAUGCAUGAGGGGUGACCUAUGUAAUGGCUGAACUAUCCGAAUAAAAGCAAAGCUGAGUAAUGGAUGAACGUUUUUUUUCUCAAAACUAAGAAACACGACCCAUGUGCCUUUACUGCCAAUGUGACUUUUCAUUUAACCCGGAGAAUUUGAUCUUUGGUCAUAGCUCAGCUCCCUAAUCACGUAUUGUUUGUCACGUCAUUUAAUAACUGAAUAUCGAUACCUAUAUGACUCUACAAAAUAUGGGCCUGGACAAAAAUUAAGACCGAAAAAACUAGACAUAUAUUGGCACAAUUAACUAACAAAGAUUCAUUGGAACAGUUAGUGUAAAAAUUAAGGACAUGGAAUAAAUAAGAAUGCUAGGAGAAGAUAAAGAAAUGGACACCUUAUAGUGGCCUGAACCAGGGGAGAGGGUUUACCAAGUAAGCGAAUGGGUUACCCCACUUUUUGCGACCUUGUCGUAAUUAAGCUGUACAUUUCCUUCCA
This 1138-nucleotide long non-coding RNA is filed under the name Triticum aestivum (bread wheat). RNAcentral describes it as "long non-coding RNA (TAES_LNC015367)". Lineage: Eukaryota; Viridiplantae; Streptophyta; Magnoliopsida; Poales; Poaceae. The record is from RNAcentral.